UACGGAGGGUGCGAGCGUUAGGCGGAAUCACUGGGCUUAAAGCGUGUGUAGGCGGAUGUCUAAGUACCUUGUGAAAUCCCACGGCUCAACCGUGGAACUGCUUGGUAUACUGGAUGUCUUGAGCCAUCUAGGGGCUACCGGAACAAAUGGUGGAGCGGUGAAAUGCGUAGAUAUCAUUUGGAACGCCAAUGGUGAAAACAGGUAGCUGGGGAUGUGCUGACGCUGAGGAGCGAAAGCGUGGGGAGCGAACAGG
Molecule: ribosomal RNA, 253 nt
Filed under: uncultured bacterium
Lineage: Bacteria
Description: partial 16S ribosomal RNA
Rfam family: Bacterial small subunit ribosomal RNA
Source: RNAcentral